RNAcentral lists this ribosomal RNA (253 nucleotides) under uncultured bacterium. Its description in RNAcentral is "partial 16S ribosomal RNA". It matches the Rfam family "Bacterial small subunit ribosomal RNA", at positions 524 to 776 of the family's 1533-position model. The record is from RNAcentral.
UACGUAGGUGGCAAGCGUUACUCGGAAUCACUAGGCGUAAAGCGCAGGUAGGAGGUUUGGUAAGUCUGUUGUGAAAGCUCCCGGCUUAACUGGGAGAGGUCAACGGAAACUGCCAGGCUUGAGUGUGGUAGAGGUAGCUGGAAUUCCCGGUGUAGCGGUGAAAUGCGUAGAUAUCGGGAGGAAUACCUAUGGCGAAAGCAGGCUACUGGACCAUCACUGACUCUGAUCUGCGAAAGCUAGGGGAGCAAACAGG